RNAcentral lists this ribosomal RNA (464 nucleotides) under uncultured Bacteroidales bacterium. Its description in RNAcentral is "bacterial SSU rRNA". It matches the Rfam family "Bacterial small subunit ribosomal RNA", at positions 336 to 798 of the family's 1533-position model. The record is from RNAcentral. Lineage: Bacteria; Pseudomonadati; Bacteroidota; Bacteroidia; Bacteroidales.
UUCCUACGGGUGGCAGCAGUAAGGAAUAUUGGGCAAUGGUCGGAAGACUGACCCAGCCAUGCCGCGUGCAGGAAGAAGGCCCUAUGGGUUGUAAACUGCUUUAGCCAGGGGCUAAACCUACCGAUGCGUUGGUAGCUGAAGGUACCUGGAGAAUAAGCAUCGGCUAACUCCGUGCCAGCAGCCGCGGUAAUACGGAGGAUGCGAGCGUUAUCCGGAUUUACUGGGUUUAAAGGGUGCGCAGGCGGUUGUUUAAGUCAGGGGUGAAAGCCCUAUGCUCAACAUAGGGAUUGCCUUUGAUACUGAACGGCUAGAGUGAAGAUGGAGUGGGUGGAAUGUGUUGUGUAGCGGUGAAAUGCAUAGAUAUAACACAGAACACCGAUCGCGAAGGCAGCUCACUAAUUUUCAACUGACGCUCAUGCACGAAAGCGUGGGGAUCAAACAGGAUUAGAUACCCCAGUAGUCAC